UACGUAGGGUGCAAGCGUUGUCCGGAAUUAUUGGGCGUAAAGAGCUCGUAGGCGGUCUGUCGCGUCGGCUGUGAAAUCCCGAGGCUCAACCUCGGGUCUGCAGUCGAUACGGGCAAACUGGAGUGUUGCAGGGGAGACUGGAAUUCCUGGUGUAGCGGUGAAAUGCGCAGAUAUCAGGAAGAACACCCGUGGCGAAAGCGGCUCUCUAGAACGGUACUGACGCUGAGACGCGAAAGCGUGGGGAGCGAACAGG
This 253-nucleotide ribosomal RNA is filed under the name uncultured bacterium. RNAcentral describes it as "partial 16S ribosomal RNA". It matches the Rfam family "Bacterial small subunit ribosomal RNA", at positions 524 to 776 of the family's 1533-position model. The record is from RNAcentral.